UGCAGGAAUAAGGGCUGGGCAAGACCGGUGCCAGCCGCCGCGGUAACACCGGCAGCCGUAGUGGUGACCGUUUUUAUUGGUCUUAAAGCUUUGGUAGCCGGGCCGGUAAUUCUUUGGGUAAAUCGUCAGUYUCAAGCGCGGGAAUUCUAAGGAUACUACCGGCCUUGAGGCCGGGAUAGGUGAGAGGUACUCCCGGGGUAGGGGUAAAAUCCUAUAAUCCUGGGGGGACCACCGAUGGCGAAGGCAUCUCGCCUGGAA
RNAcentral lists this ribosomal RNA (258 nucleotides) under uncultured archaeon. Its description in RNAcentral is "partial 16S ribosomal RNA". It matches the Rfam family "Archaeal small subunit ribosomal RNA", at positions 428 to 685 of the family's 1478-position model. The record is from RNAcentral.